UGGUGAGUGUUGCGGCUCCGGUCGAUGGGGGCUUCCGUGGGACGAACACAGUCACUUUCUCCGGGUCCCAGCGCUGGGGUGCGGGAUUGGGUCUCUGCAAUCCAGCUUGCGGUAGCAGGUCCUGUGUGAGUCCCAGUGUGUGCAACAGGGUCUGUGCCUCAGUGAUGUCGCGGACUGCGUGCUGGGUUUCUCCGUGUCGGAUCAUCAGAGUUCGUGACAGCCUCCAUUGAUACUGUAUGUUCUUCUGCCUAAGUAGGGUGGUGAGCGGUUGGAGGGAUCUCCGCCACGCCAGAGUGCCUCCCGAGAGGUCUGGGUAAAAGGUGAGUUGCAUUCCUUCAAAGGUGUAAGAGUCACGGUUUUUGAGGGCCAUGAGCAUUGUUGCCUUGUCCUUGCCAUUGCGAAACCGGACAAUUAGAUCCCUCGGGGCGGCUGCUGGGGCUUUCGGUGCUUUUGGUAUGCGGAAGCAAUCUUCCAUAGUCAUGGAGUUGGCCUGUCUUGGGGAUAGUAAUGCUACCAUGAGGCGCCUCAUCAUGUGUGGUAGUUCCUCUGUGGGUAUAGCUUCCAGGACGCCUCUAAUUUUUAAAUUGUUUUUGCGCCGCAUGUCCUCCUGCAUCGUAAAUUUGGCAUCAUACGCUGCGUUCUGUUUCUGGAGCCCCAGGAUUGUGCGCUGCAAGGAGGCAAUUUGUUGUGUAUGCUCUCCUGUGGUGGCUUCCACGGCUCCAAUCCGGCCUGUCAGGCCCUGGAGGUCUGCGCGUAGGUUUGCCAUGUCUGCCAGGAUAUUGUGUUGAAGGUCUGCCAGCAGGUUUUUCAGCACUGCUGUUGUUACCGGUUCUUUGUCUGGGCUGACCGGUUUGGUUGUCGGUGCCGGUCUAAUCGGCAUGUCGUCUUCUUCGUCCUCGAGGGACUCAUCAGAGAGGUCUGAAUAGGCCUCAGGGUAGUCGGCCAUUUUGGGCCCGCCGGCCUGCUGUGCCUGCCUUAGGAGCACUCCGAUAUCAUGACUUAGUCUGGGUUUAUCAGGCUUUAUCUUUUUGGUUUUUCGACCCAUGUUGUAGUGUGGGUCUACCGCCUGCCUCUAUUGUCGUUUCGGUCCAGCGAUAUUGCAGGUAAAGUGCGUGAAUUGCUCGGUGUGUCUCGGAGCUCCGAGACCGUGCGGCCAUGCAGUUCAGUCGCUUAGCCACGCCCCCCC
This is a non-coding RNA of Pelobates cultripes (western spadefoot toad), 1186 nucleotides long. The record is from the annotation of a GenBank genome assembly. NCBI's taxonomy places the organism in Eukaryota, Metazoa, Chordata, Amphibia, Anura, Pelobatidae.